GACGAACGCUGGCGGCGUGCUUAACACAUGCAAGUCGAACGGGCCUGCCUGGCUUUGGUUGGGUGGGUGAGUGGCGAACGGGUGAGUAACACGUGAGUAGCCUGCCCUCUUCUCUUGGAUAACUGCUUGAAAGGGCGGCUAAUACGGGAUGUUCUGGCUGCCUCGCAUGGGGUGGUUUGGAAAGAUUCGGCCUGGUUUUGGUUGUUUUGGUGGGGGAUGGGCUCGCGGCUUAUCAGCUUGUUGGUGGGGUGAUGGCCUACCAAGGCGGUGACGGGUAGCCGGCCUGAGAGGGUGGACGGUCACACUGGGACUGAGACACGGCCCAGACUCCUCGGGAGGCAGCAGUGGGGGAUUUUGCACAAUGGGCGCAAGCCUGAUGCAGCGACGCCGCGUGAGGGAUGGAGGCCUUCGGGUUGUGAACCUCUGUCGCCGGUGAUGUAGGCUCUGCUUUGUGGGUGGG
Molecule: ribosomal RNA, 460 nt
Filed under: Actinomyces sp. oral taxon 448
Lineage: Bacteria; Bacillati; Actinomycetota; Actinomycetes; Actinomycetales; Actinomycetaceae
Description: bacterial SSU rRNA
Rfam family: Bacterial small subunit ribosomal RNA
Source: RNAcentral